This 437-nucleotide ribosomal RNA is filed under the name uncultured Oscillospiraceae bacterium. Its description in RNAcentral is "partial 16S ribosomal RNA". It matches the Rfam family "Bacterial small subunit ribosomal RNA", at positions 341 to 792 of the family's 1533-position model. Lineage: Bacteria; Bacillati; Bacillota; Clostridia; Eubacteriales; Oscillospiraceae. The record is from RNAcentral.
ACGGGAGGCAGCAGCGGGGAAUAUUGGGCAAUGGGCGCAAGCCUGACCCAGCGACGCCGCGUGAGGGAAGAAGGUCUUCGGAUUGUAAACCUCUUUCAGCAGGGAGGAAGCAAGUGACGGUACCUGCAGAAGAAGUCACGGCUAACUACGUGCUAGCAGCCGCGGUAAUACGUAGGUGGCGAGCGUUAUCCGGAAUUACUGGGUGUAAAGGGUGUGUAGGCGGAGAAGCAAGUCAGGCGUGAAAUUUAUGGGCUCAACUCAUAAACUGCGCUUGAAACUGUUGCACUUGAGAGUGGGAGAGGUAAACGGAAUUCCUGGUGUAGUAGUGAAAUGCGUAGAUAUCAGGAGGAACACCGGUGGCGAAGGCGGUUUACUGGAACACAACUGACGCUGAGGCACGAAAGCGUGGGGAGCAAACAGGAUUAGAUACCCUGGUA